CCGAACUUCUCCUCCCGAUCUCCUCUUCUUCCCCUCCUCUUCCUCUUCGUGGCUGAAACCGAUUACCUUCCUCGCCUCUGCCCAAUCCUCUUCCUCUCUUCUCUUCCGUCUCUGCCCAAGCGCCAGCAACGCGUGAGCCACCACCGGCCGAGCUGCCCUGCUGAAACCUUCCCUUUGCCUCUUCGUGUGAUUCUACCUUGCCGCCCUCUGGAUCUUCUUCUUCCUGAUCUCCGACGCCCUCUCCGACGACCUCUUCUUUCCUCUUUUCCGAUCAGUCACUUUUCUUUGCCGACACGCGAAGCAUCCCUCUGCCCUAGUUCCGGCUGAGUUCUCUUCGUCCUGAUCUGAGGCGCGAUAAUUGUUGCCCUAGCUCGAAUCUGCCGCCGUUGCUGCGAGGAUUGAGCCAACCCUCGCUGGAGCGACUGAGUUCCCAUUCCCUCUGCCCUAGCGCUGGCAGCCAACCUCACCCGUGCCCUAGCUGAGAUCUUAGAGGGUUUGAUGGAUCUAAAUUGUGGGGUUUUCUUGGUCACCGGCAGUUGCUCUUUCCUGGCAGCAACAAUCUCUUUGGUUGUGAAUCAAUAGAAGAGGGUCGUGAGAGGAAACACACUCCUUGACUGAGGAUCAACAGCGGUUGUGAAGUGAGUUUGAGGUCGUCAGGAGAUUCCAGUUGCUAGUCCCCUGGUCACGAGAGUUUACGUAUUAGUCUUGUGGUUUUCUAUUUGUUUCAGACUUAUAUUGGUUUUGCACUCUAAAUUUUGUGUGGUUUGUCUUUAAGUAUUGUGAUGGUUGUAUUUUUACUUGCUUAGUAGAUUUGUAAUUGUUAUGUUUCGCUACGCACCUGUCAAUCGACAGAAGAGGUAAGUUUAGAUGUUGUUUUCGAUUUCUUUUGUAUUGUG
This is a long non-coding RNA of Zingiber officinale, 896 nucleotides long. RefSeq lists it as uncharacterized. The transcript is spliced from 4 exons. Lineage: Eukaryota; Viridiplantae; Streptophyta; Magnoliopsida; Zingiberales; Zingiberaceae. The record is from RefSeq and is a predicted model, not a curated record.